Mastomys coucha (southern multimammate mouse) is the source of this 376-nucleotide long non-coding RNA. RefSeq lists it as uncharacterized. Lineage: Eukaryota; Metazoa; Chordata; Mammalia; Rodentia; Muridae. The transcript is spliced from 2 exons. The record is from RefSeq and is a predicted model, not a curated record.
UUCAGGAUCGAAGCCUGUCUGAUACCUCCCAUCCCUCCUACCCCAGUACUCCUGCACAUUUGGGAAUAUGUGAUAACUUGGUUGGUGACUGAAAGCACAUGAGUACUGGUACAGAACGUUGCCUACUUCUAGCAUGCUGCAUCUGUAGAUCUUAGUAAAGUGGGGCUGAAGAGAUGGAUCAGCAGUUAAAGAGUGCGGACUAUUCUCCCAGAGGAGUGGGGUUCAAGUCCCAGGACCUUCAUAAUGCAUACCAGUUUGUGACUCCGGUUCCAGAGUAUCUGAUGCCCUCUUCUGGCCUCUGUGGGUACUCCAUGCACAAGGUGCCCAGACAUACAUAGAAGCAAAAAUGGAAAGAAAAAAAUAUUUAAAGAAAACA